Molecule: transfer RNA, 76 nt
Filed under: Klebsiella aerogenes
Lineage: Bacteria; Pseudomonadati; Pseudomonadota; Gammaproteobacteria; Enterobacterales; Enterobacteriaceae
Description: tRNA-OTHER
Rfam family: tRNA
About the family: Transfer RNA (tRNA) molecules are approximately 80 nucleotides in length.
Source: RNAcentral
GGUGAGGUGUCCGAGCACGCCUGGAAAGUGUGUAUACGGCAACGUAUCGGGGGUUCGAAUCCCCCCCUCACCGCCA